GACGAACGCUGGCGGCGUGCUUAACACAUGCAAGUCGAACGGAAAGGCCCUGCUUUUGUGGGGUGCUCGAGUGGCGAACGGGUGAGUAACACGUGAGUAACCUGCCCUUGACUUUGGGAUAACUUCAGGAAACUGGGGCUAAUACCGGAUAGGAGCUCCUGCUGCAUGGUGGGGGUUGGAAAGUUUCGGCGGUUGGGGAUGGACUCGCGGCUUAUCAGCUUGUUGGUGGGGUAGUGGCUUACCAAGGCUUUGGCGGGUAGCCGGCCUGAGAGGGUGACCGGCCACAUUGGGACUGAGAUACGGACCAGACUGCUACGGGAGGCAGCAGUGGGGAAUAUUGCACAAUGGGCGGAAGCCUGAGGCAGCAACGCCGCGUGCGGGAUGACGGCCUUCGGGUUGUAAACCGCUUUCGCCUGUGACGAAGCGGGAGUGACGGUAAUGGGUAAAGAAGCACCGGCUAACUACGUG
Molecule: ribosomal RNA, 468 nt
Filed under: uncultured bacterium
Lineage: Bacteria
Description: partial 16S ribosomal RNA
Rfam family: Bacterial small subunit ribosomal RNA
Source: RNAcentral